Molecule: ribosomal RNA, 496 nt
Filed under: uncultured bacterium
Lineage: Bacteria
Description: partial 16S ribosomal RNA
Rfam family: Bacterial small subunit ribosomal RNA
Source: RNAcentral
AUGAACGCUGGCGGCGUGCCUCAUACAUGCAAGUCGAGCGAACAGACGAGGAGCUUGCUCCUCUGACGUUAGCGGCGGACGGGUGAGUAACACGUGGAUAACCUACCUAUAAGACUGGGAUAACUUCGGGAAACCGGAGCUAAUACCGGAUAAUAUAUUGAACCGCAUGGUUCAAUAGUGAAAGACGGUUUUGCUGUCACUUAUAGAUGGAUCCGCGCUGCAUUAGCUAGUUGGUAAGGUAACGGCUUACCAAGGCGACGAUGCGUAGCCGACCUGAGAGGGUGAUCGGCCACACUGGAACUGAGACACGGUCCAGACUCCUACGGGAGGCAGCAGUAGGGAAUCUUCCGCAAUGGGCGAAAGCCUGACGGAGCAACGCCGCGUGAGUGAUGAAGGUCUUCGGAUCGUAAAACUCUGUUAUUAGGGAAGAACAAAUGUGUAAGUAACUAUGCACGUCUUGACGGUACCUAAUCAGAAAGCCACGGCUAACUACGUG